RNAcentral lists this small nuclear RNA (20 nucleotides) under Arabidopsis thaliana (thale cress). RNAcentral's name for it is "snRNA_09874". The record is from RNAcentral. Lineage: Eukaryota; Viridiplantae; Streptophyta; Magnoliopsida; Brassicales; Brassicaceae.
UAAAGAGACUGCGUUAACGA